AGCGUAAAUAGACAGUUAGUGUGUCUGCUUUAAAGACAGCGUGUACAUGCAUAUCUUUACUUUUUAAAGUGAAAAGGCACUUAUUGCUGUAUUUUUAUGUAAAGACUAAACUUAGGUGGGUUUUCUUCAGUGGGGAAGCUCAGUGCGACGGAUAAUUUGUAGAUUUUACCAGUUGCACAAUCGACUGUUGCUU
Long non-coding RNA from Thalassophryne amazonica, 193 nucleotides. RefSeq lists it as uncharacterized. NCBI's taxonomy places the organism in Eukaryota, Metazoa, Chordata, Actinopteri, Batrachoidiformes, Batrachoididae. The record is from RefSeq and is a predicted model, not a curated record. The transcript has 3 exons.